RNAcentral lists this long non-coding RNA (267 nucleotides) under Olea europaea (common olive). RNAcentral describes it as "long non-coding RNA (OEUR_LNC007712)". Lineage: Eukaryota; Viridiplantae; Streptophyta; Magnoliopsida; Lamiales; Oleaceae. The record is from RNAcentral.
ACUGUCGAUUGAAAUGAAGUAGGAUAUAUUUGUGAAAUUUGAGUAAAAAUCAAUUUGGUUUUAUUGAUUGAUAGAGGGUAUGUUCGAAGAUUUUGCAGUUUCUAAGAGAUUGUUUACUAUUUUGAAAACUUUUUCUCUCUAAUUUUAACGUUAAAAGCGGAAGCAUUCAAGAUGAAUAAAUAUUUAUUUAAAGCAUAAUAAAAUAUUAAUUAAAACCUGAUUUUUGUAUUAUGAAACUUAAUCCUUGGUUUAUGAAAUUGGAUCUUU